This 460-nucleotide ribosomal RNA is filed under the name uncultured bacterium. RNAcentral describes it as "partial 16S ribosomal RNA". It matches the Rfam family "Bacterial small subunit ribosomal RNA", at positions 338 to 795 of the family's 1533-position model. The record is from RNAcentral.
CCUACGGGAGGCAGCAGUGAGGAAUAUUGGUCAAUGGCCGGAAGGCUGAACCAGCCAUGCCGCGUGAAGGUCAGUGCCCUAUAGGCGUUAAACUUCUUUUGUGCGGGAGCAAUAAUGGUCACGUGUGGCCAGACGAGAGUACCGUACGAAUAAGCAUCGGCUAACUCCGUGCCAGCAGCCGCGGUAAUACGGGGGAUGCAAGCGUUAUCCGGAUUUAUUGGGUUUAAAGGGUGCGUAGGCUGUGAGGUAAGUCAGCGGUGAAAUGCCCCGGCUCAACGGGGUGAAGUGCCAUUGAUACUGGCUGGCUGGAAUGCGGAUGCCGUGGGAGGAAUGUGUGGUGUAGCGGUGAAAUGCAUAGAUAUCACACAGAACACCGAUUGCGAAGGCAUCUCACGAAUCCGCGAUUGACGCUGAUGCACGAAAGCGUGGGUAUCAAACAGGAUUAGAUACCCUUGUAGUC